CAGAGAAUAGUUUAUGAAAAAAUAUUAGUUUUGGGAAUUAAAGAUAAAAGAAUUUUUUCUCUGA
This 64-nucleotide transfer RNA is filed under the name Myomenippe fornasinii. Its description in RNAcentral is "tRNA-Pro". Lineage: Eukaryota; Metazoa; Arthropoda; Malacostraca; Decapoda; Menippidae. The record is from RNAcentral.